CCACCCUUAGCUCAGCUGGAUAGAGCGUCGCCCUCCGGAGGCGAAGGUCAGAGGUUCGAAUCCUCUAGGGUGGGCCA
RNAcentral lists this transfer RNA (77 nucleotides) under Cellvibrionaceae bacterium. Its description in RNAcentral is "tRNA-Arg". It matches the Rfam family "tRNA". From Rfam's summary of the family: Transfer RNA (tRNA) molecules are approximately 80 nucleotides in length. Their secondary structure includes four short double-helical elements and three loops (D, anti-codon, and T loops). Lineage: Bacteria; Pseudomonadati; Pseudomonadota; Gammaproteobacteria; Cellvibrionales; Cellvibrionaceae. The record is from RNAcentral.